UAUAUGUUGUGAAAUUCAACACUUAUGUUACUAUUUCGUUGUGAAUAUAUGUAUGGUAAGUGCAAAUGCGUGGUGUAUAAGCUAACCUAGCAGGCUAAUCGGGUAGCUGUAUGCUAUGCUAGUACGUGAGCUAACC
Long non-coding RNA from Sinocyclocheilus anshuiensis, 136 nucleotides. RefSeq lists it as uncharacterized. NCBI's taxonomy places the organism in Eukaryota, Metazoa, Chordata, Actinopteri, Cypriniformes, Cyprinidae. The record is from RefSeq and is a predicted model, not a curated record. The transcript has 3 exons.